CUACGGGGGGCAGCAGUAAGGAAUAUUGGGCAAUGGACGCAAGUCUGACCCAGCCAUGCCGCGUGCAGGAUGACAGCCCUACGGGUUGUAAACUGCUUUUAUACGGGAAAAAUUCCCCGGUCGUGCAUCGGGGUUGAUGGUACCGUAAGAAUAAGCAUCGGCUAACUCCGUGCCAGCAGCCGCGGUAAUACGGAGGAUGCAAGCGUUAUCCGGAUUCAUUGGGUUUAAAGGGUGCGUAGGCGGAAUGAUAAGUCAGUGGUGAAAUCCUACAGCUUAACUGUAGAACUGCCAUUGAUACUGUUGUUCUUGAGUACAUUUGAAGUGGGCGGAAUGUGUCAUGUAGCGGUGAAAUGCAUAGAGAUGACACAGAACACCGAUCGCGAAGGCAGCUCACUAAACUGUAACUGACGCUGAGGCACGAAAGCGUGGGGAUCAAACAGGAUUAGAUACCCGGGUAGUC
Molecule: ribosomal RNA, 460 nt
Filed under: uncultured bacterium
Lineage: Bacteria
Description: partial 16S ribosomal RNA
Rfam family: Bacterial small subunit ribosomal RNA
Source: RNAcentral